Molecule: long non-coding RNA, 1154 nt
Organism: Varanus komodoensis (Komodo dragon)
Lineage: Eukaryota; Metazoa; Chordata; Lepidosauria; Squamata; Varanidae
Exons: 4
Source: RefSeq, a predicted model, not a curated record
ACAUCAGCUGAGCAUUUUGGCACAUUUAGAACAUUUUUGCACAGGCUUUGCUUUCAGAGAGUGAGGGGCUUUGCAAGCAACAGCUAGAAGAAUCCAUUUCCCUUCUGUUUUCCUUGCUGGGUUAUCUUGUGUUUUCACAGGCACCCCGAGUCAGAUGAAGUGCACCCUCAGCAUAGUACUACCAAUGGGCUCUCCACCUCCAUGCUGCCUGAGCCAUGCAGGGCCAUUGCUCUUUGCUUUUGCUCUUGCCAGUCCAAUCUGCCCCUGCCCGUUAGCUAGUUCUCUCUCCAUUUUUCUUCUUUUGAACCUGGCAGCAUUGGCAUCUCCUCCUCCUCCUCUUAUUCUAGCCCUGUGCCCUGCUAGAGAUGUUGGAAAAAUCCAAACAGGAUUCAAUUGGCUUCAAAUAUCUAUGAAUCCAGCCCUCAGAUUCUGCCUUGUACCACCAUCUUCCAAUUCAUGUGAACUUACAGAUCAUUUCUCGACUUUCCGAAAUCAUAGAUAAACUUAGAAGUAGGAACAUACAAAAGUUAUUGGAUAUAUAUACAUCCAAACUCACACACUAUAUAUGAGUUUAAAAUGCACACACAACUUUUUAUUAAUCUCUGCAGCUUCUGCUGUCUAAUUCUGCUUUUUCUAUGCUCUGCUUAUUGAUUGUACCCUGAGCUAAGAAAAAUAUUAAAAGUUAAGUGAAAGUAAAAGUUAUAUAAAUUGCAGCAGUUCUUUUGUGUACUUUUCUGUAGGGGGAAAAAUCCAAUUUCAUCAAUAAGCACACAGUGGAAUGUUUCCUAACAAUCUCCAAAGCAGACUAGAUUAAACAAAAUCUCUGUAUUCCUACUCUUCACCUUGCUGGUCCCACUGGAAAAAGAAAGCACCCUGUGCUGGAACUGCAAGAAAUAGAAAGAACUGGAAGAAAAGUAGAAAGGAGAAUGCUCCAGUACUCACAGCCUGAUCCUAUCCAUGAUGACUCAGAGCCAUGUUGCACGAGCUGCAGAAAUGAAGAACUUGUUCAUUCUUUCCUGAGACUAAUGAAUGCUUUCCUUUAAACUUUAUGCAAGAAGCAGAAAUUUUCUAUUUUAUCCAGCCUUAUACUUCACUGAACAUACAAGGAGUGAUCGUGUCCCACUUAGGAGAAAACGAUGCAAAGGAAGAAAGAA